CGGGUGAGUAACACGUGGAUAACCUACCUAUAAGACUGGGAUAACUUCGGGAAACCGGAGCUAAUACCGGAUAAUAUUUUGAACCGCAUGGUUCAAAAGUGAAAGACGGUCUUGCUGUCACUUAUAGAUGGAUCCGCGCUGCAUUAGCUAGUUGGUAAGGUAACGGCUUACCAAGGCAACAUGCAUAGCCGACCUGAGAGGGUGAUCGGCCACACUGGAACUGAGACACGGUCCAGACUCCUACGGGAGGCAGCAGUG
RNAcentral lists this ribosomal RNA (258 nucleotides) under uncultured Staphylococcus sp. Its description in RNAcentral is "partial 16S ribosomal RNA". It matches the Rfam family "Bacterial small subunit ribosomal RNA", at positions 103 to 356 of the family's 1533-position model. Lineage: Bacteria; Bacillati; Bacillota; Bacilli; Caryophanales; Staphylococcaceae. The record is from RNAcentral.